CAAUGAUUCCAACCAAUCCCCUGUUCUCUGCUUUGAAUCAGUCCCAUUGCUCUGUUUCUUCAACAGGGACGCCGUGUAAUUCGAAACCACGCCCUUCUCUGCAACACCUUUAUCUUCCUUCCCAGAACCACUCUUCUCUGUUGGAGGCGAUUUCACCCCACUCUUCUCCGCGACGCCUUUAUCCUUCGUCUCAGAACCAUUCUUCUCUGUAGGAGGCGAUUUCACCGUCGAAUUCGACGCUACUCUCUUCUCCGCGACGCCUUUAUCCUUCGUCUCAGAACCACUCUUCUCUGUAGAAGGUGAUUUCGCCGUGGAAUUCGAAGCCACACCUUUAUCGUCCUUCCCAGAGCCACCCUUCUCUGAAGGAGGCGAUUUCACCGAGGAAAUCGCACUCUGAUUGGCCGAAACCAGAGGUUUCGGAGGGGCAAUUGCAGUCCGAUUUGGCGUCAAAGCUUCAACCUUUGUCUCAUUCUUCGCACCGGACGGAUCUUUACUCUUCUGAGGUGAUUGAAACGUGGCAGCAUCAUUGGAUCUGGUGGCGUUGGUCCCAGUUGUGGGCGUGGGAACCGAAGUAAAGUUGUGAACUUGCUCCUGAGAUGAAUUCGGAAACCAGAAAGAAAAGAAAGAAGAAAAUUGAGAUCUGUAGGAGUCAUCGGAGGUAGAAGACGACCCUGAACCAGUACCAGUCGCAAAGAUAUUGGUGAACCAAGGUGAAGAAGCGUUUGCAGGACUGAAAGCUAAGAAAACAGUGAAAACAAUGAAAGCAAACAUGAACCCAUAUACAAAAAACAUGGUUCUUCGCGUUCUCGCCAUGGAAAACAGACUGGUAAAGUCUGAAAACAGUGCUCCCCCACCAAGUGGGAGAUGCUUUGUUCCAUCAGCCAUCUCCGGACUAUCAACAGAAAGGAGAAUAUGGAAGAUGACACUGGUUUUAUAGAGAGAAACUGAAGAAAAAUAAGUGGGGGGUUUUAGAAAGAAAGAGGAACUUGAGUGCUGCGAGGACUGCACUUAGUGGCCGAAGACGAUUGUCAAAUAGGAAAGCACAAGUUUUCUGUACCUGUUAUUCUCUAUUUUUACCAAAAUACCCCUUCUUCUUCACUUAACUAGGAAACUGCCACCGCCGUCCAUAUCAUGUGACAAUGGCAGUGGGUUUUCAAAGCCUCACCACAUUACGUCCCUCAAAUUAUGUGCCACCUUCGCUUGACACGUGUAAGUUGUAACAAACUUUUAUUAUUAAGAUUCCUAAUUUAUCUUAAGAAGCAUUAUCACCUACUUAAAAAUAAAUUAAUUGAACUGCACGUCACUUAAUAUCAUCCCAAUCCUAUGGCAUUGGGACAUGGCAAGGUAAUAUAUAUAAAUUUAGUAUAAAUAAAUAAAUUAAUUAAAAUAUAUAUGAAAAAACAGUACCGUCUUUUUAAAAAAAUCAAUGAAAACUCAACCGUAUUUAAACGUUGCAGAUCGAAAUUUAAGGGUUAACUAUUAUAUUUUAAUAUCCAGGCGUAUCUUGAAAAUACUACAGAUAAUAAUAUUCGGAUUCUGUUAGAAACUUUGAUAAAAAAAACAGUGGCGUUGAGUGGCAGAAAGUGCAAAAUCGAAGAUUUGCCAGGGGCAAUGCCAAAACCAAUCAAUUCACUUUUCUUAGGUUGUUUUAACGGUAUAUUUCACACUAGUUAAUUGAGGCUCCGUGUGGGACCGUAUGCGGCAACACUCCAAUAUUUUUCACCGUACACCCAUAGUACGCGUAAAAGGUCCGUUACAGGGGUGAUGUUGUACCUGAAGGGAUGGACGGCUGAGAUCGAAGGAGGACCCACUUUUAAACAGUGCCAGCUGUGACGGGCCCAUAAGAGACAUAUGCCGCUCGUGAGGCAACGGCGGUCCAUCCAACCAAUGAUGUGCUUGGAUUCACCGCCAGGUGUCGUCGCAUUAUACGCACCGGCUCAUUUUGCAGUGUGGGACCAAUGCCAAGUGCAGUCCUUUGUUGUUUUCUACGAAAAAUACUUAUUUUCCGGCGUUGCUUUAGCCUUACAUGAGUUUAUCCUAAUAAGAAAAAAAAAAAAAAAGAUAUGUUAUAAAAUAAGUAAUCAUUAUAAUUUUUUACAAAAGAAAAUAACAUACAAUUUAAUAACAUUUAAAUGUUUACAGAAAUUGUUAUUACAUUUUAAAAAUAAUUUUUUAAUGAUAUAUUAAAACUAAAUUAAAUCAUAUUCAAAGAAAAUUAAUCAAAACCUUAAAAUAAAGAGAAAAAAAAAAAAGGAAAGAAGGAAUUAGACAUUAUUCACACAAAUAAUAAUAAGAUAAUAAUUUCAUGCAAAACCUAAAAGAAUGGAAAGAUAAAUAUAAGUCACAUAAUAUUUUGAAUUUUUAAAAAGCCAUAUAAAAUUUUGCUGAGAUCCAUGUUAAUAAAGUGUUCUUAAAUUAUAGUUCAUAGGAAGGCGUUUGUUAGGGUUAAAUACCGUUUAACAAAUUUAGAUAAUGUUUAUUUUUUGGUUGAAUGAAAAUAAUUUUUAAAUUUUUUUUAUUUUUUUAAAAAUAAUUUAUUAAUAUCAAUAAACAUAAUUAAAAUAAACUUCUUAUCAAUAAAUAAAUUUUAACUAAAUAUAAAAAUUCAAUCCCUCAAAAAAAACAAUACAAACAUAAUUUCAACAACAGCUCUAUCAAAAUAUUUGAAUGAUUCGUACGAUCCUUCGACCACUGCGCUGGACUUAUUUUGCGUACGUGUCGAAUCCAAAAAUCUGAGACUCAUUGUGUCGGUGAUGUAUGUAGUUGUAUAUAACCCAAUUAUUUAUGUCACUAAAUCCAUAUGGCAUGUGGGUGUGCCAGUUUAAAUGCACGGAGUUUGCGUCCUUCCCUGUUUAAAUGGCACGUGCCAAACAAGAAAAUUAACGGAAGAAAAAUUGAGAAGUUUUAACAUCUAGUUUAGGCAAGUAUCAAUUAAUAUACUAAAUCCUCGUUUUGUACAGAAAAGGAAUUGUUUGGAAUUCCCUUUAGCCGUCCAGAAUUUGUAUUUUAUUAAAAUAAGAGUAAUUUAACAUUUUUAUAUGAAUAAAAAUAUUCUUUUAAUAUAGUAUUAAAAAGAAAAUGUUUAAAUCUCCAUGUUUUUUCAAGUUGUAACUAAAUUAUAUCGAGAAGUAUAGGGCUUAAAUUCGAGAUCAAAUUUCAGCACCCAUUUACAUUGCAUUUGAUCUCUAAAUAUUUCUUUUAAUAUUUAAAAAAAUAUUUUAUAAAAUAAUUUUAAGGUUACUAUUUAGAGUUUAAUAAACUAAAUAUAAAUUUUUACUACAACCAAUUUCAUCCUGAUUUGUUGGUCUAUCUCACAAAAACAUGAAGUUUUUUUUUUUAAAAUAACCAAAGUAAAAGAGAUGAAAAUUUUUAAAUACUUAAAUCAUUUUAUUGCUAGAUGCCUUGACAUAUCUUGCAAGUAUGGUUCUGCAAUUUUAGUGAAAAUUGUAGGGAUCACUCCAGACGCCGACAUGGCACAUCAACUCUCUAUCCGGAUCCUUUAGGGGGGCAUAUGGCACUCUCAAAUCAGCUACUCGGACGAUUUUCUCCCUUGUCCGGAUAUGUUGUCUGGAACUAGGAAGCCUUGGCCGUAAAACGUGGGUCAUACUGAAUCACUUCAGACAGUCUGUUACAGCUCGCAUUCCGCCGCCUGUAGAGCGAUGAUGACUCUGCCACCGCCUCAGCACCAUCAUGACAAGCCAAAAAGUUUUCCCACCAUUAAAGAGGAUAAAGUUUCUGACACUAUAAAAGGGCUCUCAUGCGAAGAGGGAAGUAAGCUUUUUUGACUCAGCAAAAAGAAGCAGAUUGAUCAUUAGAGCGAUGACUAACAAAACCAUCGGAGGGUGUAUCCGAACAUCUUGUUCGGACAUCUUUUGCAAGUUGACUAAAGCAGGAAUCAUCUUCAGUUGAGAGGGAACGUCCAUAUAACGACCACGAGGACCUCGAUGACGCAAGACUUUAACAGCCCAGAUGGUACUAAGAGGGCAACCAAAAAGACCUUAGUCUUAAAUUCGAAUCAUAGGGAGGCCACUCUGGGUCGCUUUGGCAUCAGAGCCAAAAAUCGCGGGCUCCGCAUUGGCUCAAGCCUAGGCACCAAGAUGCAAAUGCACAACAAAAAUGAGAUUAUUAUUUAAAUAAGAAGAAAUAAUAAAAAUACUAGAACACAUAAUUACCUUUAAAGGUGAAAACAAUUAGACAAAAUAUUUAAAAAAAAAUUAUUUAAAAUUUUUUGGGAAAACUCCGGGAAGAGGAAUUUGACUUUGUGAAACAAAAAUAGUCAAAGGCCGGACAAAAAGCACCUCAGAAAAGAGAAAGAGAAGGAGCUCAGCAACAACACAAGUAGGGCUUUUCCAAAAGCUGUUCCGUUCUCUUUUGGCAUAGCUAAAAUGAAGGAUCAUCCACAGCUGCUCUGAAGACGGUACACAAACUAACUUCACAAAUCUCUCAUUAAUUGUUCUAAAAAAUUAAAGGCAAUUUAUUGAGUGAGUUAAGAUAGCGAAAUAACCAAAUUAUAAAAACAGCCACAGCCACUCUACAUAUAGGCACUGAAUCUAAAGAGGAUGGGGUCUUUAGAUAUAUAUAUAUAUAUAUUUUUUUUUUUUUCCCACCCCUCAUGGGCAGGAGUUCACAAGUCCAGCAACUGCUAUCUAUACUUCCACCUUGAAGUCAUGCAUUUAUGAAAUAUUCCCGUGGAACAAAUAUUUGGGAAUCAUUUGAAUUUAUUGACCUGCUGUGAUUUUUUUUUUUUUUUUUUUCUGUUUGUCAAGGAUAUAUAUCACAAAAAGUUUGCAGAUGUGUUCUCCACAUUCCCAUGCCUAAUAAUUCACGGGAAGCCCAGACCACUUUUCCACUUUCUACAUUAUUGAAAGGUCAGUGACUGAUAUGAAAGGCGAUAGCGUAGCGUAUUAAUUUAAAUUUUGAUUAUAGGAAUGGCUAAUGCGUGAUAUAAUUCUAAACUUUGACGCUGCUAGAGGGGAAUUCGAAAUGUUCCGUCAGAUUCCCCACCAAGGAAAACACAAUGCGAGAUGUGAAAAUGACAGGAGGAAAAAUGGGUCCGCUUCCAUUCAAGUCUCAUCCAACCCAUUCAACCACUUUUUUUUUUUUUUUUUUUCCCAUUUUUCUCCACCGACUCCUCAUACUCUUGACAAUUGCACCAACCCAUUUAAAGGCGGCCUUUGCUACGGACAAAUGGGAGACUCUUGAAACCGUGUCGUUCACUUUCGAUAGCCUUUCGGUUUUUUAGGCAUUUUAUCAAAAACUCACACAGCUCUAUAUGCAUGAUCCAUCUGACUUACCUUGCCCUUGCCAUGUGAGCCACCUUGCAAUUGCAUCAAGUUUUUUGCAGCAUGGAAACAUCGCCUUCACUGUUAAGUGGCGCCAGUCUGGGUUCCUCCCACUUGUGCUCCUGACUAACCCCAAACUACAAAAUCAAAAUUACAUCGGCAUUGGUUUGCCGUUAAGCAUGGUUUUCCACUUAUAUUUGAAUCAAAACCAUAUUUGAAUGUAUCAACGUUGUUUCGAACAGAAAUGUCAGAGAUUGACCCACGACUUUGGGCCUAAUUCAGAAGAACUGCUGUCCAAGGGCGGAUUUAUGCAAAUUUGAAAAUUCGCGCAGCCAAGUGAAGACGAGGUUCAAAAUCAGAAUUGUAUGGGGCAUAAAAUUUCUGAAAAUAUGAUUCUCGGCGUUAUAUCUAUGUCCCUAGUCUUUUGGUCCUUUCAAAAAUUUUGUAGCAUUCCCAAAAAGACUGGUAAUAUUUGUCAUCCCAAUUUGUGACAAUGCAGGCAAUCAGAGGAAAUUGAAAAUGAUUAAUAGGGUGCAACAAAGCUAUUUCUAGGACAUGAGGAGAGAGAGACAGAUUUGGGCUCUCUAUAUUUGUAUGGAGCACAGGAGAAGUAUAGGGGAUAAGGAAAUGGGGUGUCCCAAUUCCUGAGAAUUCUAAAGCCAUUUAAGAAGGCUUGAGUGACAAUUCAACCACUGGUAGAUGGGCAUUUAAUUAGAGUCAUCUUUCUUAAGAUUAUUAUAGUCCAUAUGGAUGCACUAGUGUUUGUGAGAGAGUGGGGCAUGAUGUAAAAGCAAAGUAGGUAUGGACCAUUGCCAUAGAAAUGAAGCUGCCGAAGGAUUCCGAAAGAGCCAAUUAAAGUUGGUGGGCUUUUGACAUUUCGGAAGGCCAUUCUGUAUCUUAGGCUAUUUAUGAAAUGCCCACUUGAAAGGGUGCUGUCCAAGUAAAUCUUUUGCAAAAAAAAAAUUCUUCAAUUCUCCCUCUGUUCAAAUUGUUUGAAAAUUCAAAAUUGAAGAAAACAAAACAGUCAUACUUAUUAUGUCAUUUAUUAAGUAGGUAGAGGACAACACAUGCAAGUUUUGCAGAUCGAGAGAAGACUACAAAUUGACAAAAGAACCCUCACUUGAAUUUUAUAUAUCUAUAUAUGUGGUUAUUUAUUUAUAUUUAUUUGGGAACUUGUACAGAAAUACUAGUAAGGAGCAAUUGAAGAGAAUCAUUUUUCAAGACAAGACGAGGGUAGUCGAAUCAUUUACUUGUUGUAGAGCAUUACAGAGAUUAUCAUUGUCGUUUCAACUUUUCCCAAAUUUACAAGUAGUUUAGUUUAGCAAUUUAUAACAUCAAAAGUACAAAUGAAGAUCAACAAAACAAUGAAUAUAAAGCAGAAAAAAAACCAAAUAGGACAAAGGAUCCAACGUACCAUAUCAUUGGGACAGCAAGACCUUUUUCCCUGACGAGCAAAAGGGAGUGUAUAUCAGGAUAGCCAGCUGGCCAUUCGCCUUUAAGCUACCUGAGAUCCAAAAUGUAUGUGAGAAGAAAUUAGAAUUGCAACUUUAAGAUGGGCUCAAGCCCAGUCCCAUCUUAACCAUUACCCAUGUGUCACCUAAGUAUAAAAGUUCAUAGGUCUAGGUUCAGAGAGAGAGAAAAAAAAAGAAAAAAAAGAACAUCUCAAUAGGUAAAGAAAAAGAUGGAUCACAUGAAGCAUCCCAAAGGGUAUCAGCUUAUCCCCACCAACCACAGUUAAUCAAUUACAUAAUAGUCACGACAGAAGAUGCAUGCCAUGAAUUAUAGAAACAUGGGUUUAUGGCCAUCAUACUGCCUUUUGCUUUUCAGGCUAUAAGAAAACCUGACCACAAAUUUUAAUAUCCAAGGUGGUUUAAAAACCAGCCACACCAUCAUUUUGGAUGUUCCAAAAAGAUGUGAUGCCAACCUCAUUCGACACUGGUCUUUGAUACUUCUCUAUGGCAACCACAUCAGGUAGUUAUAAAGAUCUGAAAUGAAAGUACCCCAGUAGAUGGUUAGGAUAUAUCACAGCCAAAUAUAGAAUUCACUACAUGAAACAAAUGGUUCAAUUAACACACUAUUUCGAUUCACUGGUAUGCAGAUUCAAUCUAGACUCAAAUCACCGGUAAUAGAUUUUCAUUGAGAGCAAAAGAAAAGGAUAGAACGUAAAUUUAAUUUGGUAAGCAAGAACUUUCUUUUUCAGAGAACAUUCUUCUACACCAGCAGCACAAUUGUUUAAUAAUCGAGUGAGCAAAUCACUCCACCAAUCUCUAACUGUGAUUGGGACAUGUUUGCUGGUUUUAGUCUUUGACCUUAACUUUAGUCAAAGAAGUAAACUGGAGGCUUUUCCCCACCUAUGAUGAAGCUUCUUUUUGUCAAAUCAUAUCUUAAUAUGGUUUAAACAUAAAGUUCACAUACUCUUUUAAAAGAUGAGCUGAAAACCCGGCUUCCCUAUAACAGAAUUUUGAAAAUAAAGUACCCCAAAAUGGAAUGUCGAAUUACCUUGAAUAUGGGAAUUAAAGGGAGGGUUUGGUUGCAAUAAUGACCCUAUCCAAAAAAUACCAGGGUGGGACAAGUAGUGUAUUCAGUAUUCACAUACAGUGAAAUAUAGGAAAUGCAAAAGCAAACCUUUUGCACGGGUAAUGGGAAGAAUUGCCUUUACAAAAAGGAAAUCAUUCCAGUGUAAUUUGUACCAAUAGCUACAAGAAAAGGGCAAUGGUCAAUUCAAGCGGCAUUUGCCUCAUUCGGUGUGUUCUACUUAAACUGUUCUAUAAGCAUAAAUAACAACCAAAGUGACAAUAAAAACAAGGAUUUUUCUGAAAUUUGAAAAGCUUAAUUGCGAUUGUGAAGAACACCAAUUGUGAAUAUUACAAAUUUCCCAAACCCUAACUCUACUUUCCAUCUGCAGCACUUGCAUUCAAACAAGUACAUUUUCAGGGUAGAAAAAUAAAAUAUGUAAUCUUAGAAACCUCUAGCUAACUUUGUGUAUUAAGACAUGUAAGUCUGUUUUCCAAGACAGAAUGAUAGGAUUUAGUUGCAUUCCAUGCAAAAUAUCUCUCUCAUCCUUAAUUCUCAUUAAAGUCAAAGGUUUUGGGAAAAAAUUUAUUUAGAAAUUAUACGUACUUUAUGUUAAUAUAUCUACUCAUCCACCAUCUCUCCAGCAAAGGAUCCACAACUUCUGAAAAGGAGCAGGAUCCAGUAUCAAAAAUAUUUGAAGGUGACAAGUGAACAGAACCAAACAAUAUUUGCAAAUUCCAUUCCAUAUAUGAAGAAUGGUUUUGAAUAUAGAUUUUUAGAAUGGGCAAAGAGGAUCUUUUCUGGUAUUUUCCUCACUAGAUUGGAUCUAACUAGGAUUAUUGUUUGUCUAGAAUUGCUAAAGUUUCUUUACUGUCUUCUGCAGAUAUCCAGCAGGUCUCAAUGGUGCUAUCUACAUUUAUUUCCCUCAAAAAUCUGGUUCCAAUAUCCAGUGAGAAUAUUUAACUAUGUAGGGCCAGAUUGUUCCAGCGGCUAAAGCCACAAAUAAUGGGACAUCUGGAUGGUAUUUCGCCACACAAUCAUGAUUUAUAAACUUCUUCAACUUCUUAAAAGCCAUCUCCUAUUGGAGAAACCUUUGAAUACAAGCAUGGAGUGGUACGCCACCAAUCAGUUGUUGCUUCUAAAAAUAUCCUAAACACACUCUCUGGAUUCUCUCUUUUAACCUCAAUUCGGGCAGGUUAUGGUGCCACUUAUUCUAUUAUGGAUGAAAAAUAAUCUUUACUAACUUGGGCUCUUUAUUAUUCCAUUUCUUAUAUCUUUCUUGACGAUGGCUCCAACUAAUUAUUCCCAUGGGUGCUGCAUUGGUUGUGACAUCUCAUAAAGGAAUAUGCUUUUUAUUUCUCAGUUCAUUGAUCAAACUCAUCGUAUCUGUCUACACCUCUUUGAGUUUAGUUUAAAGUGUCUUCGCUCUAACAAACUCUUCCCUAAUGAAAACCAUUGAUGCAAUGGAUGAUAUCUACCAUCUAUAGAGUGGUACACAUAAUACUUGCACCACCAGAGCCUCCAAGAGUGCUACUAGAACUAAAACAGAAAUAGAGAAGGAAAUAAGAUAAUACUAGAAACACAAGAUUAACAUUAUACUUGCAACAUCCAAACAAUCUACAAACGCCUCCCUUGCUCCCUCCCAAUACACAAAUACACAAGAAAAAAAGGGCCCUUGCAAGUGGAUCUCCCAAAGAAAUAAACCCAAUCAACAGGCUCAUGGACUAAAUGAUUUCUACAUGCUUAUGUCCAGUGUGGAUAAUAUGUUUAUGAGCGAAACAAAAUCAGUAGUGCCUAUUGUAAAGAAAGACCCAAAAAAAAAACUCAAGUCAUAUAGCAAAUAGCACCCAAGCAACAAUUACCAGAAACAGUAAUUCAAGCAUGGUCAUUUCUUAGAUAUAACCAAAAAUGAAAUUUGAGGCUUGGAGCAAAAAAGGCACAACCAAAUAUGGCAGAGCAAUGAUCAUCUAAAUUACCAGCAGGACAUCAUGGAGAAAAGGAUUGCAUCAUGUGAUUCUAGGGGCUCCAAGAAACGUGAUCAUGUAGAUCAUUCCAACAUAAUUGUUAAGGACUAAUCAUAGGAAGUGGAGAUGAAAUGCAGUGGAGUCAGUAAUUUUCAUUCUUUUCUAAUCAAUAGCUCUACAUUUUGACUAUGUUCUAUCAAUUAUUCAAUUAGACCUUGAAUACAUUACUUAGAUCCUCAAAUGCAAGGCUGCUAAUUAAAAAACAUAAACCCCAAUUUAACAAGUGCCUGUCCUAGUUGACAUGAGCAUUUUUUUUCUAUAUCUUUACUAGGAACCAAAUCAACAUGAAAAAUGAGAUCCAGAAUUUAACAAAUUCUCUGUCUUUCACUCAAUUUUCUCAGGAACAAAAUAAAUGAUAAAAGAAUAUUUAGGCAUAUUAGGAGUUACCAUAUAUCAGCUCAAGGAAUUCAAACAAUUGAACAACAUUCAUAACCCUGCGUUCCUAGCUAAAAAUACUUAUUCAUGAAUUUACGAACAAAACUUAUUAUCCUAAGAAAAUUCUCACUUAUAAUUUCAUUCUCAAGUACUGUAUAAAACAAAAAGGCGUGUUAACUGUCACAAUUACCUGACUGUUGGGAUGAGGUUUGAUCUUUAUUACAAACCAAAACAACGUAAGACACGAGAUUCAGAAAUUAAUUUUCCUUAUCCUAACCUCAGUUUCACAGCAAUCAAACAGAAAGUAAAUGGAAUAUUUAUGCAUAUCAGAAACACAACAAAAACAUACAAUCCAAAACAAUAUAAGACACGGGAUUCAGGAAUUAAUUUUCCUUAUCCUAACCUCAGUUUUCACAGCAAUCAAGCAGAAAGUAAAUGUAAUAGUUAUGCAUAUCAGAAACACAACAAAAAUUCAGACAAUCAAAACCUGGAAGUGGUCCUCUUUCACCCGACCGUGAGUAUACAAAUCAAUUUGAAGAUCAACAGGCAAAACAAGAAUAAUUUAAUAAUUUUGAAUAAUAUAAUACUUUUUACCGGUUUCUUGCAUUGUUUUGGCCAUAGAAAACCAAGGCCGCAAGUUAUCCAUUUUCCUGGUAUCCAAACUAUAUAAAGACAAGAACGAAAAUGUUUUCUACUUUUCUUUAAUUCUCUUGCGUUUUCUCGCGAGAUGGUACGAUUAAACAACUUCAAGUUCACCAAACUAAAGACGAAGAAAAGAGAAUAAUUGCAUAAUUAAGAGACACGGGCGUGUUCUAACAUUGCAAUUCAGAAAUUCGAAGGCAAAAAUCUGAAGCCCUCACCUUAAGUCAUGAUGGUUUAUCACAGACUUUACAGAGAGCCGAGCUGAUAGAGAAGGAAGGAGAAUGCGGAGGAGGGAAUCGG
Molecule: long non-coding RNA, 11137 nt
Filed under: Vitis vinifera (wine grape)
Lineage: Eukaryota; Viridiplantae; Streptophyta; Magnoliopsida; Vitales; Vitaceae
Description: long non-coding RNA (VVIN_LNC002660)
Source: RNAcentral